This 262-nucleotide long non-coding RNA is filed under the name Elaeis guineensis (African oil palm). RNAcentral describes it as "long non-coding RNA (EGUI_LNC025349)". Lineage: Eukaryota; Viridiplantae; Streptophyta; Magnoliopsida; Arecales; Arecaceae. The record is from RNAcentral.
AUAUAUCAUUUUUUAUUAUCAAUUAGAUAUAUAAAAAUUAUUUUAAAAUAUUAUAAUUUAAGCAUCAACUUUUCAAAAAAUAUUUUGAUAAAAAAAAAUUCUUUUCACGAACUAACAGACGUGAAAAUAGUGAUUCUAUACGCCCCAAUGUCACUUGCAUGUGCGAAUCAAGACAGUAAGAUCCACAUUGACGACGUCGGACGAAGCCACGAACGUUGUCCCCAAAAAAAAAAAAUGAGACUAUGAAUGAGAUUAGGGGGGG